GAUUAAGUUAUUAAGGGCGCACGGUGGAUGCCUUGGCACUAGAAGCCGAUGAAGGACGUUACUAACGACGAUAUGCUUUGGGGAGCUGUAAGUAAGCUUUGAUCCAGAGAUUUCCGAAUGGGGAAACCCAGCAUGAGUUAUGUCAUGUUAUCGAUAUGUGAAUACAUAGCAUAUCAGAAGGCACACCCGGAGAACUGAAACAUCUUAGUACCCGGAGGAAGAGAAAGAAAAUUCGAUUCCCUUAGUAGCGGCGAGCGAAACGGGAAGAGCCCAAACCAACAAGCUUGUUUGUUGGGGUUGUAGGACACUCUAUACGGAGUUACAAAGGACGACAUUAGACGAAUCAUCUGGAAAGAUGAAUCAAAGAAGGUAAUAAUCCUGUAGUCGAAAAUGUUGUCUCUCUUGAGUGGAUCCUGAGUACGACGGAGCACGUGAAAUUCCGUCGGAAUCUGGGAGGACCAUCUCCUAAGGCUAAAUACUCUCUAGUGACCGAUAGUGAACCAGUACCGUGAGGGAAAGGUGAAAAGCACCCGGAAGGGGAGUGAAAUAGAACCUGAAACCGUGUGCUUACAAGUAGUCAGAGCCCGUUAAUGGGUGAUGGCGUGCCUUUUGUAGAAUGAACCGGCGAGUUACGAUUUGAUGCAAGGUUAAGCAGUAAAUGUGGAGCCGUAGCGAAAGCGAGUCUGAAUAGGGCGUUUAGUAUUUGGUCGUAGACCCGAAACCAGGUGAUCUACCCUUGGUCAGGUUGAAGUUCAGGUAACACUGAAUGGAGGACCGAACCGACUUACGUUGAAAAGUGAGCGGAUGAACUGAGGGUAGCGGAGAAAUUCCAAUCGAACCUGGAGAUAGCUGGUUCUCUCCGAAAUAGCUUUAGGGCUAGCCUCAAGUGAUGAUUAUUGGAGGUAGAGCACUGUUUGGACGAGGGGCCCCUCUCGGGUUACCGAAUUCAGACAAACUCCGAAUGCCAAUUAAUUUAACUUGGGAGUCAGAACAUGGGUGAUAAGGUCCGUGUUCGAAAGGGAAACAGCCCAGACCACCAGCUAAGGUCCCAAAAUAUAUGUUAAGUGGAAAAGGAUGUGGCGUUGCCCAGACAACUAGGAUGUUGGCUUAGAAGCAGCCAUCAUUUAAAGAGUGCGUAAUAGCUCACUAGUCGAGUGACACUGCGCCGAAAAUGUACCGGGGCUAAACAUAUUACCGAAGCUGUGGAUUGUCCUUUGGACAAUGGUAGGAGAGCGUUCUAAGGGCGUUGAAGCAUGAUCGAAAGGACAUGUGGAGCGCUUAGAAGUGAGAAUGCCGGUGUGAGUAGCGAAAGACGGGUGAGAAUCCCGUCCACCGAUUGACUAAGGUUUCCAGAGGAAGGCUCGUCCGCUCUGGGUUAGUCGGGUCCUAAGCUGAGGCCGACAGGCGUAGGCGAUGGAUAACAGGUUGAUAUUCCUGUACCACCUAUAAUCGUUUUAAUCGAUGGGGGGACGCAGUAGGAUAGGCGAAGCGUGCGAUUGGAUUGCACGUCUAAGCAGUAAGGCUGAGUAUUAGGCAAAUCCGGUACUCGUUAAGGCUGAGCUGUGAUGGGGAGAAGACAUUGAGUCUUCGAGUCGUUGAUUUCACACUGCCGAGAAAAGCCUCUAGAUAGAAAAUAGGUGCCCGUACCGCAAACCGACACAGGUAGUCAAGAUGAGAAUUCUAAGGUGAGCGAGCGAACUCUCGUUAAGGAACUCGGCAAAAUGACCCCGUAACUUCGGGAGAAGGGGUGCUCUUUAGGGUUAACGCCCAGAAGAGCCGCAGUGAAUAGGCCCAAGCGACUGUUUAUCAAAAACACAGGUCUCUGCUAAACCGUAAGGUGAUGUAUAGGGGCUGACGCCUGCCCGGUGCUGGAAGGUUAAGAGGAGUGGUUAGCUUCUGCGAAGCUACGAAUCGAAGCCCCAGUAAACGGCGGCCGUAACUAUAACGGUCCUAAGGUAGCGAAAUUCCUUGUCGGGUAAGUUCCGACCCGCACGAAAGGCGUAACGAUUUGGGCACUGUCUCAACGAGAGACUCGGUGAAAUCAUAGUACCUGUGAAGAUGCAGGUUACCCGCGACAGGACGGAAAGACCCCGUGGAGCUUUACUGUAGCCUGAUAUUGAAAUUCGGCACAGCUUGUACAGGAUAGGUAGGAGCCUUUGAAACGUGAGCGCUAGCUUACGUGGAGGCGCUGGUGGGAUACUACCCUAGCUGUGUUGGCUUUCUAACCCGCACCACUUAUCGUGGUGGGAGACAGUGUCAGGCGGGCAGUUUGACUGGGGCGGUCGCCUCCUAAAAGGUAACGGAGGCGCUCAAAGGUUCCCUCAGAAUGGUUGGAAAUCAUUCAUAGAGUGUAAAGGCAUAAGGGAGCUUGACUGCGAGACCUACAAGUCGAGCAGGGUCGAAAGACGGACUUAGUGAUCCGGUGGUUCCGCAUGGAAGGGCCAUCGCUCAACGGAUAAAAGCUACCCCGGGGAUAACAGGCUUAUCUCCCCCAAGAGUUCACAUCGACGGGGAGGUUUGGCACCUCGAUGUCGGCUCAUCGCAUCCUGGGGCUGUAGUCGGUCCCAAGGGUUGGGCUGUUCGCCCAUUAAAGCGGUACGCGAGCUGGGUUCAGAACGUCGUGAGACAGUUCGGUCCCUAUCCGUCGUGGGCGUAGGAAAUUUGAGAGGAGCUGUCCUUAGUACGAGAGGACCGGGAUGGACAUACCUCUGGUGUACCAGUUGUCGUGCCAACGGCAUAGCUGGGUAGCUAUGUGUGGACGGGAUAAGUGCUGAAAGCAUCUAAGCAUGAAGCCCCCCUCAAGAUGAGAUUUCCCAACUUCGGUUAUAAGAUCCCUCAAAGAUGAUGAGGUUAAUAGGUUCGAGGUGGAAGCAUGGUGACAUGUGGAGCUGACGAAUACUAAUCGAUCGAAGACUUAAUCAA
Molecule: ribosomal RNA, 2922 nt
Filed under: Staphylococcus aureus
Lineage: Bacteria; Bacillati; Bacillota; Bacilli; Caryophanales; Staphylococcaceae
Description: 23S ribosomal RNA
Rfam family: Bacterial large subunit ribosomal RNA
Source: RNAcentral